CGGCAACCUGCCUCCUUCUGCCAUCCCUAUAAAUAGGAGGGAACAGGAGCAGGAACACCUGUGGGACUCCAGCUCUGCAGGAGAGGCAGGCAGGGAGGGACAGAGGGAGCUGCUCCUUGUUGCUCUCUCCUCCCUUUGAGCUUCCUAGUGCUCUGCCUGUGUGGGGGCCUGAGGAAUGGGGACUAGGGGAUGGACGCUCUCCACCUUCCUGGGAUGCUGCGUAUGGAUUCUGCAUGGGCUUGGGGCUGCUGCUGCCCCUGUCACUACCGAGGGGCCCUUUACUGUGGGGACAGCUUUUCCCAUCACAGCAGAGAAUGAAGGGCCCAGUGCCCUGGUGACGGGCACUGCGGACACAAGCACCACGGUGGCUGAUGCUGAGAUAGACGAGAGCAUCUUCACGAGGAGCCCAUUGAGUUCGACCUUCCCUCCCGGGACUGAGCUGGACUCUUUUGUGACUGCGACAAGUGAAUAUGGCUCUACAGUGCCAACCUUGAUGAAUGUGACCAAGCCUCUUAACACAUCUCAGGGUAUUGAGGGGGGGUUGGCUGCUUCCACUACAGCCACAACUGCUGCUGCUAUCACUGCACAACACCCUGCUGUCACCCCAGAAGCAGAGCAUGAGGUAAUAGAGGCCACUCCUGAUCCCACCCUAGACAUCACCCCAGAUGUGAAGGAAGACAUCCCUGCAGCUGUGACCAGAGGAGAAGAAGACAUAGACCUCACCACUGGCAAUAUGUCUUACCCUACCGCCCCUCCACCAGCAGACACCUGGGUGCCACAGCCAACUGCUGGCAGCCCCGUGGGUCUCAGUGUCACUGUGUUACCAAGCCAAGGGCUGACCACAGCCAUGGGAGCAGUCGAGGAAGUCGUAACUCUGUCUGCAUCUGUCCAAAGUGGAGCCAAUGCCAACUCCUUAAGUCCCAGCCCCAGCACUGAGGAGCUGCUUACGACCCAGCAGGGUGGAGUGGUGAGCAGGGUUGAGGGCACUAACCCAGAGACAGCAGAAGAAAUGGCCCUAGCUGCUGAGGAAAAUCCCUUGGCUUCAGAGUCUGGAGAUGCAGGAGAUACAACAAAUGGUGAAUUCAGCACAGUCGGCUCAUCCCACCUACCUCCGGAGAGCCCAGUGAUGUUAGAAACAGCGGGACACCCUGGGGAGCCCUCCUUCCUCCCCGGCCACACAGUGCUGAGCCCAGACGCUUCGCUGGCACCGUCCACAGGGAAUGGAGAUGGGCAGGGAGUGUCAUCAGAAGCUUCUGGUUCAGCCCUGUCACCUGCAGCCAGCGAGGCACCAGUGGCACCCGAGGAAACAGAGGACACUGCCACAACACUGCUGGCCCCAGAGGUUCCCACUUAUGCACAGAAUGAUAUGAAUCUCCCAACCGUGGCCACUGUGCUGCCCACAGGGGACAUGGGGGCUGUGGGUCUGGACAAUCCAUCCCUGCAGCCUGACCCAUGGCAGACCUCCGUCGGAGAAAAGCCACCACUGCUUCCUGAUGCUCUGAUGGACACCCCCAGUGCUCCUGGGGCUGCUUACCCACCCCCAGGGGCUGAAGCCAACACCCUGUCUGCAGCUGAUGGUGCAGCAGAGACACCAUCCAGCCCCGACCUCACUACUGCCCCAGAAGCACCCAUGUCUCCAUCUCUCGGAGAGUCACAGCCCAGAGGGAUGCCAGAUGGACCUCCCCAAGAAUCUGAUGGACCUGACACUGGCUUGAGUUCAGAUUCAGAUGCCCCUAGCCCAGCCCUCUUUGUACCUGAUGGACUGGCAUGGCCCACUGCUGGGGUCCAAGGUCAGGGAGCUCAGGGGGCAGAGGACACGGCACAGGCAGGAGGUCCAGGGGAUGGCAGUCCCUAUACAGACACCCAGAGUGACAUGAGCCUUUCAGACACCCAGCCCUCAGCCUCUCCUGCUAAUAAUGGAGAGCUUCUGGCUGGAGGAACAGAUUUGGCAAGUGCUGGGCAGUCCCCUCCACCAGCUCUUGGGGGGGGAACAGGAGCAGGAGAUGCCCCGGCACUGGGAGAAGUGUCCUCAACUGGUUCUGUACCUCCCAGCAGUUCUGGAAUGGAGCCCGAUCUCUCAGGGGCUGAAGGACCAGUGGACCUGCCCAGUGAAUCUGCCAAUGGUCCUGGGACUGUUUACCCACUCCCGGGGGCUGUGCCUGGCCCUGCAUCUGAGACAGAGACACCAGCAAGCCCUGACCUCAGUGGUGCCCAGGGAGUACCUGGGUCUCCAUCCUUUGGUGGGUCACAGCCAUGGGGAACAGCAACUGGUGCUCCCCAGGGAGCUGGUCUCCCUGGAGCUGAAGGACCAGACUCUGGCUUGUCUUCGUUAGGAGAUGCCCCCAGCUCAGCAGUUCAUGGACUGGCAGGACCCCCAUCACCUGCCCUUGAGGACCAGCUUGGCACAAA
Molecule: long non-coding RNA, 2409 nt
Filed under: Lepidothrix coronata (blue-crowned manakin)
Lineage: Eukaryota; Metazoa; Chordata; Aves; Passeriformes; Pipridae
Description: lncRNA (ENSLCOG00000000753.1)
Source: RNAcentral